RNAcentral lists this ribosomal RNA (450 nucleotides) under uncultured bacterium. Its description in RNAcentral is "partial 16S ribosomal RNA". It matches the Rfam family "Bacterial small subunit ribosomal RNA", at positions 354 to 796 of the family's 1533-position model. The record is from RNAcentral.
GUGGGGAAUUUUGGACAAUGGGCGCAAGCCUGAUCCAGCAAUGCCGCGUGCAGGAAGAAGGCCUUCGGGUUGUAAACUGCUUUUGUACGGAACGAAACGGUCCUGGCUAAUAUCCGGGGCUAAUGACGGUACCGUAAGAAUAAGCACCGGCUAACUACGUGCCAGCAGCCGCGGUAAUACGUAGGGUGCGAGCGUUAAUCGGAAUUACUGGGCGUAAAGCGUGCGCAGGCGGUGCUGUAAGACAGGAGUGAAAUCCCCGGGCUUAACCUGGGAAUGGCGCUUGUGACUGCAGUGCUGGAGUGUGGCAGAGGGGGAUGGAAUUCCGCGUGUAGCAAUGAAAUGCGUAGAUAUGCGGAGGAACACCGAUGGCGAAGGCAAUCCCCUGGGCCUGCACUGACGCUCAUGUACGAAAGCGUGGGGAGCAAACAGGAUUAGAAACCCGGGUAGUCC